RNAcentral lists this ribosomal RNA (397 nucleotides) under uncultured bacterium. RNAcentral describes it as "bacterial SSU rRNA". It matches the Rfam family "Bacterial small subunit ribosomal RNA", at positions 362 to 776 of the family's 1533-position model. The record is from RNAcentral.
UAUUGCACAAUGGGUGAAACCCUGAUGCAGCGACGCCGCGUGAGUGAAGAAGUAUUUCGUUAUGUAAAGCUCUAUCAGCAGGGAAGAAAAUGACAGUACCUGACCAAGAAGCCCCGGCUAACUACGUGCCAGCAGCCGCGGUAAUACGUAGUGGGCAAGCGUUAUCCGGAUUUACUGGGUGUAAAGGGAGCGUAGACGGUUAUGUAAGUCUGGAGUGAAAGCCCGGGGCCCAACCCCGGGAAUGCUUUGGAAACUGUGUAACUGGAGGACAGGAGGGGCAGGCGGAAUUCCUGGUGUAGCGGUGAAAGGCGUAGAUAUCAGGAGGAACACCGGCGGCGAAGGCGGCCUGCUGGACUGAAACUGACGUUGAGGCUCGAAAGCGUGGGGAGCAAACAGG